Molecule: ribosomal RNA, 785 nt
Filed under: Sugar beet little leaf Phytoplasma
Lineage: Bacteria; Bacillati; Mycoplasmatota; Mollicutes; Acholeplasmatales; Acholeplasmataceae
Description: bacterial SSU rRNA
Rfam family: Bacterial small subunit ribosomal RNA
Source: RNAcentral
UUUAUCAGGAAGAAAAGCCAGAUGGUUAACCAUUUGUUUGCCGGUACUUGAUGAAUAAGCCCCGGCUAAUUAUGUGCCAGCAGCCGCGGUAAACAUAAGGGGCAAGUGUUAUCCGGAAUUAUUGGGCGUAAAGGGUGCGUAGGCGGUCUAGUAAGUCAGUGGUGUAAUGGCAACGCUUAACGUUGUCCGGCUAUUGAAACUGCUAAACUUGAGUUAGAUAGAGGCGAGUGGAAUUCCAUGUGUAGCGGUAAAAUGCGUAAAUAUAUGGAGGAACACCAGAGGCGUAGGCGGCUCGCUGGGUCUUAACUGACGCUGAGGCACGAAAGCCGUGGGGAGCAAACAGGAUUAGAUACCCUGGUAGUCCACGCCCGUAAACGAUGAGUACUAAGUUGUCGGGUUAAACCGGUUACUGAAGUUUAACACAUUAAAGUACUCCCGCCUGAGUAGUACGUACGCAAGUUAUGAAAACUUUAAAAGGAAUUGACGGGGACUCCGCCACAAGCGGUGGAUCAUGUUUGUUUAAUUCGAAGAUCCCGAAAAACCUUACCAGGUCUUGACAUGUUUUUGCAAAAUGAUAGUAUAUCGUGGAGGUUACCAAAACACAGGUGGUGCAUGGUUGUCUCACUCUGUUGAAGAUGUUAGGUUAAAUCUCCUAAAACAGAAACAAAACCCUUUAUCUGUUAGUUUGCCACACAAUUUAAUGGUGGGGCACUUUUACAAAAACUGCAAUGAUAAAUUGGAGAAGUAAGCUCCCCUCAAUAAACUUCCUUUUUCACGUGCUCAAU